AUUGAACGCUGGCGGCAGGCCUAACACAUGCAAGUCGAACGGUAGCACAGAGAGCUUGCUCUUGGGUGACGAGUGGCGGACGGGUGAGCAAUGUCUGGGAAACUGCCUGAUGGAGGGGGAUAACUACUGGAAACGGUAGCUAAUACCGCAUAACGUCGCAAGACCAAAGAGGGGGACCUUCGGGCCUCUUGCCAUCGGAUGUGCCCAGAUGGGAUUAGCUAGUAGGUGGGGUAACGGCUCACCUAGGCGACGAUCCCUAGCUGGUCUGAGAGGAUGACCAGCCACACUGGAACUGAGACACGGUCCAGACUCCUACGGGAGGCAGCAGUGGGGAAUAUUGCACAAUGGGCGCAAGCCUGAUGCAGCCAUGCCGCGUGUAUGAAGAAGGCCUUCGGGUUGUAAAGUACUUUCAGCGGGGAGGAAGGGAGUAAAGUCAAUACCUUUGCUCAUUGACGUUACCCGCAGAAGAAGCACCGGCUAACUCCGUGCCAGCCGCCGCGGUAA
RNAcentral lists this ribosomal RNA (504 nucleotides) under uncultured bacterium. Its description in RNAcentral is "partial 16S ribosomal RNA". It matches the Rfam family "Bacterial small subunit ribosomal RNA", at positions 30 to 523 of the family's 1533-position model. The record is from RNAcentral.